CUAGUAAGUCGGAUGAUUACCCUGAUUCAUAUUGGGGAGGAAAGUCCGAACACUCUCCCGACCUAUGUCGGGAAACAGCCUAGCGGGUAACGCCCGUCCAUCGUAAGAUGAGGGAUGCGAACAGAGACGAACCGGUUAAGUCCGGAGUGAAACGGUCCCGACGUAAAAGUCGGGACUCCGACCUCGUAAGAGCGUCGGAGCUAAAUUCCUAGGUGGGUGCAAGAGUAAAUAUCUAGCGGGAAGUGAUUAUGAUUUUCUGCUAGUGAAAGGUAACUCGCUCGACUCCGACGGUAACGUCGGGGCUAGAUAAAUGAUCAUCGAUUACAGAAUUCGGCUUAUAGACUUACUGGGACA
RNAcentral lists this RNase P RNA (354 nucleotides) under Patescibacteria group bacterium. RNAcentral's name for it is "RNase P RNA component class A". It matches the Rfam family "Bacterial RNase P class A". From Rfam's summary of the family: Ribonuclease P (RNase P) is a ubiquitous endoribonuclease, found in archaea, bacteria and eukarya as well as chloroplasts and mitochondria. The record is from RNAcentral. RNAcentral also lists the same sequence under 1 other name.